This 329-nucleotide ribosomal RNA is filed under the name uncultured eukaryote. RNAcentral describes it as "partial 18S ribosomal RNA". It matches the Rfam family "Eukaryotic small subunit ribosomal RNA", at positions 1470 to 1796 of the family's 1831-position model. The record is from RNAcentral.
CCCUUAGAUGUCCUGGGCCGCACGCGCGCUACACUGAGUGUCUGAGAUACGAGUCUGCCUGGUCCGGCAAGGUCUAGGUAAUCGCUAAAAGAUACAUCAUGCUUGGGAUAGAUUAUUGCAAAUAUUAAUCUUGAACGAGGAAUUCCUAGUAAGCGCAAGUCAACAGCUUGCGUUGAUUACGUCCCUGCCCUUUGUACACACCGCCCGUCGCUACUACUGAUUGGAUGUUUAAGCGAGGUUCUCGAACUGCUAGCGACUUAGCUUCGGUGAGGUCGCAGUGUGGGAAGUGAACCUAGCUUUGGUGUCUAGAGGAAGUAAAAGUCGUAACA